This 422-nucleotide ribosomal RNA is filed under the name uncultured bacterium. RNAcentral describes it as "bacterial SSU rRNA". It matches the Rfam family "Bacterial small subunit ribosomal RNA", at positions 355 to 774 of the family's 1533-position model. The record is from RNAcentral.
UGAGGAAUAUUGGACAAUGGGCGCAAGCCUGAUCCAGCCAUGCCGCGUGCAGGAAGAAGCAUCUAUGGUGUGUAUCCUGCUUUUGUACGGGAAGAAACACUCCUUCGUGAAGGAGCUUGACGGUACCGUAAGAAUAAGGAUCGGCUAAUUCCGUGCCAGCAUCCGCGGUUAUACGGAGGAUCCCAGCGUUAUCCGGAAUCAUUGGGUUUAAAGGGUCCGUAGGCGGUUUAGUAAGUCAGUGGUGAAAGCCCGUCGCUCAACGAUGGAACGGCCAUUGAUACUGCUAGGCUUGAAUUAUUAGGAAGUAGAUAGAAUAUGUAGUGUAGCAGUGAAAUGCUUAGAUAUUACAAGGAAUACCAAUUGCGAAGGCAGGUUACUACGAAUGGAUUGACGCUGAUGGACGAAAGCGUGGGGAGCAAACA